GACGAACGCUGGCGGCGUGCUUAACACAUGCAAGUCGAACGGAAAGGCCCUGCUUUUGUGGGGUGCUCGAGUGGCGAACGGGUGAGUAACACGUGAGUAACCUGCCCUUGACUUUGGGAUAACUUCAGGAAACUGGGGCUAAUACCGGAUAGGAGCUCCUGCUGCAUGGUGGGGGUUGGAAAGUUUCGGCGGUUGGGGAUGGACUCGCGGCUUAUCAGCUUGUUGGUGGGGUAGUGGCUUACCAAGGCUUUGACGGGUAGCCGGCCUGAGAGGGUGACCGGCCACAUUGAGACUGAGAUACGGCCCAGACUCGUACGGGAGGCAGCAGUGGGGAAUAUUGCACAAUGGGCGGAAGCCUGAUGCAGCAACGCCGCGUGCGGGAUGACGGCCUUCGGGUUGUAAACCGCUUUCGCCUGUGACGAAGCGUGAGUGACGGUAAUGGGUAAAGAAGCACCGGCUAACUACGUG
This 468-nucleotide ribosomal RNA is filed under the name uncultured bacterium. RNAcentral describes it as "partial 16S ribosomal RNA". It matches the Rfam family "Bacterial small subunit ribosomal RNA", at positions 28 to 507 of the family's 1533-position model. The record is from RNAcentral.